This 478-nucleotide ribosomal RNA is filed under the name Agrobacterium tumefaciens. RNAcentral's name for it is "bacterial SSU rRNA". It matches the Rfam family "Bacterial small subunit ribosomal RNA", at positions 1001 to 1481 of the family's 1533-position model. The record is from RNAcentral. Lineage: Bacteria; Pseudomonadati; Pseudomonadota; Alphaproteobacteria; Hyphomicrobiales; Rhizobiaceae.
UUGAGGCGAUUUCCCUCAGUUAGGCUGGCCCCAGAACAGGUGUGCAUUGCUGUCGUCAGCUGUGUCGUGAGAUGUUGGGUUAAGUCCCGCAACGAGCGCAACCCUCGCCCUUAGUUGCCAGCAUUUAGUUGGGCACUCUAAGGGGACUGCCGGUGAUAAGCCGAGAGGAAGGUGGGGAUGACGUCAAGUCCUCAUGGCCCUUACGGGCUGGGCUACACACGUGCUACAAUGGUGGUGACAGUGGGCAGCGAGACAGCGAUGUCGAGCUAAUCUCCAAAAGCCAUCUCAGUUCGGAUUGCACUCUGCAACUCGAGUGCAUGAAGUUGGAAUCGCUAGUAAUCGCAGAUCAGCAUGCUGCGGUGAAUACGUUCCCGGGCCUUGUACACACCGCCCGUCACACCAUGGGAGUUGGUUUUACCCGAAGGUAGUGCGCUAACCGCAAGGAGGCAGCUAACCACGGUAGGGUCAGCGACGGGGU